AGGUUCCACUGAGAUUUGAACUUGGGUCGCUGGAUUCAGAGUUCACAGAGUGCUAACCAUUACACCAUAGAACC
This is a non-coding RNA of Cordylochernes scorpioides, 74 nucleotides long. Lineage: Eukaryota; Metazoa; Arthropoda; Arachnida; Pseudoscorpiones; Chernetidae. The record is from the annotation of a GenBank genome assembly.